This is a long non-coding RNA of Thalassophryne amazonica, 104 nucleotides long. RefSeq lists it as uncharacterized. The record is from RefSeq and is a predicted model, not a curated record. Lineage: Eukaryota; Metazoa; Chordata; Actinopteri; Batrachoidiformes; Batrachoididae. The transcript has 3 exons.
AUCACAUUUUAAAUCAAUAUCAUAUUCUAACUUAACAUGUUUCUCAAACUGCUGAAAAACAACUCCAAAGUCUAAUAGAUACAUAUCAAUGAGUAAACAGAGCU